Homo sapiens (human) is the source of this 355-nucleotide long non-coding RNA. RefSeq lists it as uncharacterized. The transcript has 4 exons. Lineage: Eukaryota; Metazoa; Chordata; Mammalia; Primates; Hominidae. The record is from RefSeq and is a predicted model, not a curated record.
CAGAUGGGAGGAAGACGGGGCCGCUGUGUGCCUGCUUCUGUUAGCAUAGCCAGUGUUUCUCACCCAUCACUACUGAAUCAAGUCUUCUGAUCAGCAAGCCAGGACUUCCGGAGUAAUUCUAAAAAGCCAGUGGGUCUUGUCCAACCAGACCCUGUACAGACUAGGAGGUCUGGGAUAUUCUGUGACAAUUCCAGGCUGAAGCAGAAAAGCAGAGGCUACAGCAUGUUUCCCGUCACUGUGGUUCCCUGGAGGCGAAUGCUCACGGCUCCUCCUUAGGGGCCUCCAGCUGACCACAGCGCCCAACGUAGCCUGCACUGAAUGAAAGAUUCACCCAUGGACUCCACAUGUAUUUGCC